CCUACGGGCGGCAGCAGUGAGGAAUAUUGGUCAAUGGGCGUAAGCCUGAACCAGCCAAGUCGCGUGAGGGAUGAAGUUUCUAUGUAUCGUAAACCUCUUUUAUAAGGGAAUAAAGUGUGGGACGUGUCCUAUUUUGUAUGUACCUUAUGAAUAAGGAUCGGCUAACUCCGUGCCAGCAGCCGCGGUAAUACGGAGGAUCUGAGCGUUAUCCGGAUUUAUUGGGUUUAAAGGGUGCGUAGGCGGCCUUUUGAGUCAGCGGUGAAAGUCUGUGGCUCAACCAUAGAAUUGCCGUUGAAACUGGGGGGCUUGAGUAUGUUUGAGGCAGGCGGAAUGCGUGGUGUAGCGGUGAAAGGCGUAGAUAUCACGCAGAACCCCGAUUGCGAAGGCAGCCUGCCAAGCCAUGACUGACGCUGAUGCACGAAAGCGUGGGGAUCAAACAGGAUUAGAUACCCCUGUAGUC
This 460-nucleotide ribosomal RNA is filed under the name uncultured bacterium. RNAcentral's name for it is "partial 16S ribosomal RNA". It matches the Rfam family "Bacterial small subunit ribosomal RNA", at positions 338 to 795 of the family's 1533-position model. The record is from RNAcentral.